AUACGGAGGGGGCUAGCGUUGUUCGGAAUUACUGGGCGUAAAGCGCGCGUAGGCGGACCUGUAAGUCGGGGGUGAAAGCCCGAGGCUCAACCUCGGAACUGCCUUCGAUACUACAGGUCUUGAGUCCGAGAGAGGUGAGUGGAAUUCCCAGUGUAGCGGUGAAAUGCGUAGAUAUUGGGAAGAACACCGGUGGCGAAGGCGGCUACCUGGACCGGAACUGACGCUGAGGCGCGAAAGCCAGGGGAGCGAAUGGGAUUAGAAACCCCAGUAGUCC
This 274-nucleotide ribosomal RNA is filed under the name uncultured bacterium. Its description in RNAcentral is "partial 16S ribosomal RNA". It matches the Rfam family "Bacterial small subunit ribosomal RNA", at positions 523 to 796 of the family's 1533-position model. The record is from RNAcentral.